RNAcentral lists this ribosomal RNA (255 nucleotides) under uncultured bacterium. RNAcentral describes it as "partial 16S ribosomal RNA". It matches the Rfam family "Bacterial small subunit ribosomal RNA", at positions 524 to 776 of the family's 1533-position model. The record is from RNAcentral.
GACGUAGGGCGCAAGCGUUUGUCCGGAAUUAUUGGGCGUAAAGAGCUCGUAGGCGGCUUGUUGCGUCGACUGUGAAAAACCACGACUCAACCGUGGGACUGCAGUCGAUACGGGCAGGCUAGAGUUCGGUAGGGGAGACUGGAAUUCCUGGUGUAGCGGUGAAAUGCGCAGAUAUCAGGAGGAACACCGGUGGCGAAGGCGGGUCUCUGGGCCGAUACUGACGCUGAGGAGCGAAAGCGUGGGGGAGCGAACAGG